UUUAAAGCCUUGGAGUCAAAAAACAGAACGAGAAUUCAGGAGGGAAUUACAGGGCCUCAUCUAGGAAGGACAGGAGAACCAGAUGAACUUCAAGCCCUUCCUGCAGUGCGUUUAAUGAAGAAGUGCUCAUUAAGCAGAGCGAUGAGGACUCAGAACUAAUAUCAGAGUGGUAGAGAUGAUACAUCUGGAAAAAGUUUUGUGGAAAAGGUAACUGUCUGCACUGUGUUCACC
Molecule: long non-coding RNA, 231 nt
Filed under: Gallus gallus (chicken)
Lineage: Eukaryota; Metazoa; Chordata; Aves; Galliformes; Phasianidae
Source: RNAcentral